UAAGGGGAAGGAUAGAAGGAGAGAUUGGGGCCUUCCCUUAUAACAGGGCAGCGAGAAUGGGCGGGGAUUUGGUUUCUAAUGCAACCCAGGGGAACCUUUUUGGUGCUCACAUCAUAAAUUCGUGCAAUGUGCGCUGUGAUGACCAGAUCAACUGCAUGCAAUCAGUGAUGCAAGGCGAAGAUGGGGAUGAAGAUGGUGCAUUGGAUGGCGAGAACUUUGAUGCUUGUGAGAUUGGCAAUAUUCGGUGCAUGGGGAGUUCGAGUACAGGAUCUAAGGUCAUCUUGACUUGUGGCCAUGGAAAUGCGAAUGGAAAUGCGAUGGCUGCUGGAUGUUCGUCUAAGGCCAAGAAAACUAAAGGUCAGUUCUGAUUUACCUUUUUCUUUAUUGAAAGUGCUUGUUGAAUAUUUUAGUGGUCUUCUUCUAUUUGAUUAGCAGGCAUUUGAACAUUUUCCGAUGUCGAUUAGUUAUUGAAUUGCUAGAGUGAUACAUGUAAAGCCUACCCUAUUUGAUGUGCUGGAAUUAGAAGCACUAAUCUGGUUGUCAUGUAUUUCUUUUCAUUUCAUAUGGACUUUGGGAUGCAGCAAGCUUCAAUCCUCCAAGUCCAUGUGCAUUUUUAGGGAAUUAGUCAUGGCAUCUGUAGUAAUCUACCUCCAAUGGAAAAUCCAUUGGAGCUACUGUUAAGAUUUUUGGGUGCAUUGAUGUCACCUUAAGUAGUCGGUGAUUUUAGGCAAUCCUACUUUUAUACAGGACAUGAUAUUGGACUUUAACCUUCUUCAGUAAAAUCAUGAACUUGAAAACUAUUGAGAGCAUUCAAGUUAUGUGAAAUUGGCUUGUUAAGAAGAAUCUACGAUUUCAUACUUACAAACAAGGACCUCGUGUCCACCUCCAAGGGUAUAAAAUAGAAAUACUUAUAGGAGUCUAAUACAUGUCAGUCUGAGGUGGAAAUGUCGUUUGGUGGGAUAAAUUGCAAUAAGGCAGGAUAAAGGGGUUAUAUUCCUCACUAUCUUUUAACCGAACAAAUCCUCUACAUACGGGGAAAAGUGCUAUAUUUUGUACCUUCUUACAACUUUAUAGUGAGUUUGAAGCUAAGUUAGUAGUAAUUUUCUCGAAUUGAUUUUGAUGGCUUUCUAUGUUAGAUUGUAUAGAGGUAUGAAAUUUGCUAUUUUUAGAAAGUCUGAACUCUGAAAGUAUCCUAGUUGAAUAAGGGGCUAGCGGACAAGUCUUAUUAUGUAUUUGGCUAUAAAAGAAUAGAGAGAAGAUCGUCUAACAAGUUCAGUGAUAAUCAAUGCAAAAUAAAUUCUUUUCUACUAUCAUUACUUCUAACUUCUUCCCCGUAUUUUUCUUAUCUUCUAUUCUAUUUGUUACUUUCUCUUUGAAAUAGCAAUUAGAUAAACAAAAGUGAUCUUUAAUGACUACAUCAUUUUCAAAUCUGAUUUAAACUGUCCCGUAACCACUCAUUAUGUAUUCUUUGACCAAUGGGGCUACAUCAAGGUUUCCUAGUCCAAGACAUAAGAGCUGCUUUCAACCUGCUGCCUGAUGAAAGCUUCUUUGACGAGGUUGUCAAAAUCAUUCACCUAUACGCAAGCACCCCGAUGGUGGCCCUUGCCAGCCUUCUAGUCUCGACCUCUUCCACACUCACUUUAGUUAGAUUCAAUACCAAAACCUGCGUAGAAGUUCUGAAUUAGACAAGUAUGAGGUACAAAGACCUGAAAUGGUUUUCAUUUGAUGUCUUUUUUCCAACACUAAUUUAAAAUAUGGAAUUUCUAAUUAGAAACUAUGUUUUAUUAUUUCUUCAAAAAAUUACAAAUCAAAUAGACUUAUUAAUAAAAAUAGCUAUUUACUUACAAGCAAAGUAGGAAAACACUUUAAUGGCUGGACAAGUGACUUCUGUGACUUUGUUGCUAAUUUAGUAUUCUUGAAGAGCAAGUAUGAGUAGGACAUUGGAGAGUUAACCUCCUUGUAUUACCAAGAAAGAUACAUGCCAGGAUGUAUCUGAAUUUGUACACAUAAGACACUCCUAUUCUUAUCACUUUUGUUAUUUUCAUUUUUCUUUUUGGCACAUUGGGAGGAAACUUAGGUGCAUACAACCAAUGCAGUCAACCAAAAUCAUAUUUACUUGAGGAAAAAAGGAAAGGAGGGGAGGGGGGGGGGAGGGGACACAUGAUCUCCCCAAGACAUCCUUUCCGUGCUAGCCCCAAUCAAUGGGUUGAUUACGCUCCCCAUGUUGCAACCUUUAAAAUUGGUAAAUAGUUGGUCUCUUUGAACAAUGAGUUUGACCUGCUAUAAUAUCACUAGAAGUGAUUAUUUUUUAUUCUUUUUCAGAGAUUGAUCAAGAAUGUAGGUGUUAAAUUGACUUUACAAUAUGCCAUUUCUCUAAAACCUUAUAUUAGGAACUUUGAAUAAAACAUGUAUAUUUGAAGAUCUUAAACAAAUAAUAACUUUCAAAACUUUUCUUUUGUAUAAUAUAAUAUCAUAUUUCUAUAAAUUUUAAUGAAAAGUAUUUUUUUUUAACAUAUCCUUAUCUCAUUUGCUCCUUCUUGCCAGAUCAGACACUUGGACAUGGGUUCGAGUCUAGUUCUUGUGUCCAUGCCAAUGCGACGCUGCCUAUAAGUCCAUCUUUUCCUCCAGAGUUUCUUUAAUGUUAAAGAAUCUCAUCCAUAUAACUCAUUAAAUAACCACAUAAAGGAUUUUACUAGGUUAUCUUAUUGAUGCAGCUUCGGGUAUCUAUAAUGAAGGGAUUGCACUCAACUCAGAGAAGCAUUGUCUUCGAUUAUGUUCAAUCUUUUCCCUUUUCCAUAUAGAAAUAGCUCUAGUCAUUCGUCUAUUUGUGUCCCCUUGCCUGACCGUCCAUAUGUAUGUUGCCCCUUUGUUGUCCAUCCUAACACCCUUAAUUCAAUGAAAAACUCUAGUUUUCUAUUCCUUUAUCUAGUUGAUGAACAAGAGUAUUUCUAAUCUUGAUUUGAAACCAACCUCCUGUAUGGAUCACCAUAAGUUGCAGUAUUUUUUGGUAAAUAUUUCGAGCAGUAUGGUGGUAAUAUGCCACCACCAGGAUUUGAACCUUGGACCCCACCCAACAGCAAGUUUUUAGGUGAGUGGUGUCAACCAGCUAAUAGCUGUUGGCCACAAGUGCAUAUUUAAUAUUACUACUAUUUAGACAUUUUUUGAUGGAAUUUUGUAAUUUAUUAUUUCAGAGCUGUUCAUUAACGAUACUUCUGCUAUUUGCUCCUAUAUGGAUCAUCCCUCCUUUAAACUUUUUCCCUUUUUCCCUCUAAAUCCUGCUCCUUUGUUUUUUACUCCCUUUGUUUUUCUAUCUCCUAGCUUUGCAGAUGUAGACCUUUUGUUUUGGACCUAAGCUUUUUUUUAUUCUUUUGUUUCAGUUGCCUCUGGAUUCUCUACCUUUUUUUUGUGCUUGGGUGAUUCCUACUUAUUAGCUAUAGCCCACUGGUUGAUAAACUAAUUUUGACGAUUUUAGGUCAAAGUUAAUGCCAAUGAAACACUCAAAUAUUACAUAGAUUAUUGUUUUUUGGCAUUCAGCCUUCUCCAACAUACACCUCAUAUCCUCUGCUGCUCCAUAUUUCACCGUUUAAACCACCACAUAUAAAUAUUAUUUUCCCUUGAGAAUUCUUUGCAAUAAUUCAUCAUUCUCUUCCAAAACUUGCUUAUUAACUUUCUCCAGUUUUGUGCACUGUGUAUCCAUUAUUUCAUCUCAUCUUAUAAUACGUACUUAAUACCUAUUUACCUAUAGCACAUAGUAUCCUCAUAAGAAUUCUGUCUUUCAAGUCCAUCUACCAUUAUUCCUACUUCAUUCGCUUAUUCUCAUCCCACUUGUAGCCGUGACCAAUCUCCUUAGAUAUUUCUGCUUCCACAAGCAAAUAAUAUAUACUAUUGUUCAUGUUGAUGUAUGCCAACACAAGAUAGUUGGGAUGAGUCUUGAUGUUUAUGGUUGUGGUUCAUGUUGAUGCUACUCCUUCAAUGUCCUGACUCUCUAAGAGAUAAAUUGGUCUUCCUACUAAGAGACAAAUUGGUCUUCCUAUUUUUAGGACUAGCUCCUGUUUUCUUUUUGUUCCCUUUGGCAUUUUGCCACAUCUCUCCUAACCUUCAAGCUACAACAAUAAAUAAGUACCUCAGAAAUAAAAAUAUUGAAAGAGGUUAUAGAAUAUGCCAACUGACUUGCCUUCAUGUUUAAUAUAUUUAUAUUACCCUGAACCUAAUGCUUAGUAACUUCUUUCUGCAAAUUGCUGUCUUUUUUUGUGCGUUGCAUGCUCCCACUCCUACCUUUGAUCCAUAGACUCGAAAUUGGGUGAUAGAUAUAUGUCAGAAAAUUCACAUAGUUUUGAUCACUUUAACUAUUCCAUUUUCUGACAUUUGAAUGAUUCUUUUUCUUUUUAUUUCCAAAAUGUUCUAUGAAUGUGAUGGCUACGAUCAUUUAAACAACUGCAAUCUCUAUUGCAGAAAACAAAAAUAAUGACAAAUAAAAUGAAAAUGAUAGUGAUAUUUAUCUCUAAAAGGCUGCCUAGUCCACUGGAACAUGCCUGACUUAUGUUUGAGCUUAAAAGCACCCAAUGUUGAUGGAAAGGGACUUGAAUAAUAGCAAUGAUUUGGAUUUUGUUUUCCUAGCUCAUUUGGAUCGGGCAGAAUUUCUGCGAGUCCAGAGAAAUGGGCUAGAAAGGUAAUUUGCUUCUUUUUCUCCAGUUUAAAUCUAGCCUUAUUUAGUAACUGAAUCUUAGUUUUCAAGAGUGCUCCCUAUUGUAAUAUAAUCUGAGUAUGUUAUAUGCUUUGAGCAAGCCUAAAGUUGAUAAUAGUCGUUUACAAUCUACUAGAGAGUCAAGUGUGAUAUCUGCCUAUAUACAAUGUGCAAUCCACAUAUCUAUGCAGAAAGUGUUUGCAUAUGUAUCAUUCAUGGACUACAAUGACAAAUAUAACCUUAUCAGUCGAUGUCAAGAUGAUUUCAGUCAUAAAGUGCAACAUUAAACCAUAGUCACUUUACAAAAGGAUUGACUCUUCAGCAAAUAUACAUGAUCUUCAACCUGACAUCGACCAUCCUAAAGUUUUAACAACAAUCUUAGGCCAAUUUGGAGUCUGAAUGCUACCAAAAUGUAAUCAUUUAAUUUAAAUUGGUAUGUAAACUUAUACCAAUGUUGUUGUAAGAGUUUCAAUAUUAGGAUAAAUGAAAUUGGCAUGAACAUUCAAGCGUGUUGUAGUCAUAGGAAUACAAUUACAUAAAGCAAAAUCAUAUAAGUAAUUGGAAGAGCACAUUAACAUCCGUUCUAUAAUGGUUUAGUUUAUACCAAAAGAUCCCAUAAGCUCUGCUUUAAAUACUUAUUAUUAAUAUGCAGUCUAUAAAUUGGCUGAAGCAUUAUUAUAUGGUCUGAUCAACAACAGUGAUCUUUUUCUGACAAUUAAAAUAUAAUCAUCGCCAGUUAUGUCUUUAGAUUCCAUUUGUCAAAACAUGGAGUAUGGAACGAAAACUGGCUGAUACUAUCUGUAUUGGCCAAUUCCAACUGGUAGUGUCAUAAACAGUCCAGUGUUGAACCUUAGACUAGUAUUCCUGAAAAGGCCAAUUCACUACUAAACUUGAUCAAUAUAAAAAUAACUGAUUGGAGUGGUGGGUGGACCAGUUGUAAUUGUCAUUUCAUUAUGAUUCUGCUUGGAUGAGGUUGGUUCGAUCUUGUUCAGGCUAUUAAAAGUCUUUCAGGUGAUGAUAUCAUCUCUUCAAUCAUUCUCUUUAUUCUAAUACUAAUAAAGAAGAGAUGAAGCAGAACAUGGAGAAAGGAGGAAAAAGAGAAAACCUAACAUCUGAGCAUGAAAUAUACUUGUAACAUGGACUUCAUUUUGGCAAGGAGCCAUAGUGUUCUUGAAAAAUGCAUUUAUAAUAAAGGACUUCUUCAGGAUGUUGCUUAAAUCAAUGUUAGAGCUUGAACGCAUCCAGUUGGUUUUGUGUCUAAGCUUAUUAGGCUUUGCCUUCAAACUUGUUGGCCACCUCCGUGUUUUUUUUUUUGGUGUGUGUGUGGUUGGGUGGGGGGGGGGGAUGUGGAAGAGUUAAUGACAAAUUUUUAGGAGAGUGUAAUUACUUGGAUAGAACAAGCAUGUCUUCAAUUGCUUUUGGAUCUGACUGGGAAUGUGUUAAUUAUAAUUUUCAUCCUAAGUUUUUUCUAGGAUGUACGCUUUUUGUGCAAAAUCAUAAUUGUUUAUAUGGCCAUAGGAAUUUUUAAUGCUAAACUUGCUUUUUACUGGAUUCUCAAUUGGAAAAUAAACAACUCUGGUAGCUUUAUAUUUCAAGUUGGACAAAGAAUUUCCAUUAAAUCUUUAACACCAGGUUUCAAAUGUAUGUUGAUGAUUAAUUAUUGAAACUGAUGAUCCAAACAAUUGAUUAUAGCUUGCAAUUAAGUGCCCAAAAACUAAAGAAAAAGUAAUUAGUUUUGGAGGUCUCUUACCUAUGCAUCAAAUUGAGCAAAGAAAUGUAUGACACUGUAUGUUAGUGUGCUAAAUGUAUUAUGGAACAUAUGAAUUGAAAGUCAACACUGUUGAUCAUGAUUUACGCAUCUUAAAACAAGCAUAUAUUAUCAGAAACCAAAGAUGAAAAUACACAUUUUGACUACCUUUUAAAUGAUAGGUCUUAGCAAAAUCAUUUACAGUGCCAUUAAAACCAUUGAUAUUGCAUUUAGGGUGUCAGUGGGGGCUGAUAACUUACUAAAUACCCAGCUAAUUAGGCCCCCCUCCCCCACCCCCACCCCUAAAAAAAAGGGGGUGGGUGAGGAUUGUGUUUGGAUUUGGAUCUAACACAUUUUAGGUUUGGGUAUGGAUAGGGCCAAACUCUAUACGAACCUAACCUGUGGAUGCCCCUAAUUGCAUUCACUUUAUCCAUAAGUAGAAGACUUCAUAUGUGCUUUUUUAAGAUCUGGCGAAUUUCUGUUUUCUAGAUCAUGAUCGAAAGAUGCAGAACUUUAGUUCGAAUGGCUUGUCAUGAAUUUUGUAUCUAGUAAAAUGUUAAUUAUUUAAUGGCAAGACUGCUAUCUUACUCUUGUUUUUUUUUUCAUGCAAUUUGUUUAAGAAAUUCCUUGCGUUUUUCAAUAAUAUCUUUUUCCACUUCCAUUACCGGUGUUAUAUAAUUCUCAAGUUUGUAUUUCAUGAUCAAGGCCAUUCUGCAGAUUUGAUAAAUGUGUUAUCUGACAUGAACAUGAGAUUUUUCUGUUGCUAAUACUAUAUUUUUCUGUGAGUUAACAACUUGUUACCUUUUACUUUAUUUGCUACCAAUUUUGUUACUGUGUGACUCUGAUGGUUAUGUAAUUGCAGAUUGAACUUUUUGACAUCCUUGGUGAUGUGGUAUCCUGUUCAUUUUUGUUUUAUGUCAUUUUCUUGUUUGAUAUAGCAGAGCUUUUUUAGCGUUUUGUGUCUUGAUUCUUGUGAUGGUGCUUCUUCUUCAGGAUCAUGUGCAGCAGCAACAACAGAUGGUUGACCAUGUUUGGCAUGAAUUUAACACAAUCAGUUCAACAAAGUGUCUGAGGGAACUGUACUGCUGCAUGCCUCCUAUCGAGCCAUUUGUCUUGAGCUUUAGAAGAUAGGCAUCAUUGGUAUUCUUUUAGUGGAUUUUGGCUUGUUUCUUUCGAUCUCAUUGAUCCUUCCACAACUGCUCUUACCUUCAAAGAUUGUUUUUGUGUUUUACAAUAGGAACUAGUGAAACAUGUGGUCUAAGUAAGAUGUCUGUGGUGAUAAUUUUACCAUUUUGACAUGAUAAUAUGCUGCCCUUAUUGUUAAACGACUAUAUCAUGAUUUUUAAUCAUCGUCAUGAUUUCAUACUGUCGCAGCUCAAAAUGUGGCCUGUUGGUUACUCGGUCAUUGAAUUGCGGGGAUGCCAACUAGUUGAGUUGGUAAAGUCGCUAGGGGAGGUGCCAUUGAGACUGGUUUGACUCCCACCGACUCUGAAUUCAGGGAGGCUUCCUCCUAUCCCAGUUAUCAGAAUGGGAGGAGGAUGAUCCUCUUCCUCAAAAGGAGGAUGAUCCAUUUUGUUUUAUAUGGUGUGGGCUGCAUGACAUGUGGACUAGUGAGGUGAUUACUGUGUUUCUAUGGUGUCUAUAGGCGCAUAUGCAGGAUCCAUUUGAUUUAUCCAAAUAUUCUAUGCAUAUUUUCUCAAUUUUUUUGUAUCUUAUGUUACUGAAUUACUUUUUAGUUACCAUUUCAUUGUUUUCUCAUUGAAAUAUCGACAAGGAGCCGAAAAAGGAAGGAAGGACGAGUACUAGGUCAGGUAUUGGAUAAUUGAUUUGCUAAUUCUUUGAAAUGAAGAAACUAUAUUUUGUGAUUUUAGCUGCGAUAUAAACUAUUGUUAAUAAAAGAAACUAUAUUUGCUAAUUGAUUUGCUUGAUAACAGCUAAUCACUUUUGGACCUUGCUCUAAGGUUCUCAAACCUCAAUUAAAGAUUGCUUCUCUACUUUUACUGAAUGUUGUUACUAAAACAUAUUGGAAUUCUCCUAGCGUCCAGCUGUGGCAAGAAUUUCCAUAUUUUUCAGCCCUGUUUGGUUGGAGAAUGUGUCUAUCCCCUAUGGAAUUAUUAUCCUCGGACAACUCGGAAUCCUGCUGGUUGCAGUCUUUUUCUUCUGGUAAUCUAGGAACAUCACUCGAUUGGAUUUUAGCUAGUGAUGCUGUUAGACGAGGGAAAAAAAUAAGUAACUGUUUUUUGGGGAUAGGAAGUAAAUCUUUUGGGCUCAUUUUCUGGGUAAUUAGAAUUUGAAUAAACCGGGAAUAAGUCUAUUUCAAUUUCCCCACGGAAUUGCUGUCCCUGUGGAACCUCUGUGGAAAUUCAAAUGCUUAAUUUUUUUUGUUAUGGAUUUUGUAAGGAUCUAUGUAAUCCAGCACACAAAAUCUGCACUUAAUCUUUUACUUGAUAUGAACAUUUUAUAACAUAAUUAAAUAUGUUUACGGAUCACAUGUUUUUAAUAUCAUGGCUGAAGCCUAACCCAACUUUGAUUUGAUAUCCAAUCAGAAAGGAGAACUUUAUCUAGACGACUAGAACUCAUUUCAUUAUGAAGUUAUUCAUUCAUCAUGUGAUGCUAAUAUUAAAAAUACUAGUAUUAGUGGUAGGAAUUUUUGCUUGGCUGUCAUCAAAAUUCAUUACUUGGUGCAAGGCUAGUAAUAGCAAUGUCGUUAUUAAUGAUAGGAGUUUCUACGAAGGCUCAACUUGUGCAGAAUCCUCUAUUUGUGCAUGUUGAUCUUAAUAAUGUAGGCACAAUGACAAGGCUUUCUCCUUGGCUAUCAUUAAAGAAAAAAAAUCGUGAAGGCAUAAUGACACUUAAUAGUAACAAUGAGAGUUUCUAUAUGGAUGUUCAACUUAUAUAGAUAACACGAGUUUCCAGUUGUCUAUAAUUAAAUUUUAUUACUUAAUAUGUAAUAAAAAUUUAUUUAUUGAAAUCUUCUAUUUAUUAUAAUUUGUUGUAUUAUCAUAUUGCAUCUCAAAAAUAGUUGGAAAAAGGAAAAAAUACUAUACAUCAUGUAGGAUCGAUAUUAAUAAUGUCGAUAUUGAUGAUGUGAAUUUAUAUAUGAAGGCUUUUGUACAAAGUUUUUCAUUCAUCAUGUAGAUGCUGGGGUUAAUGAUGCCAGUAUUAAUUACAGGAGUAUUUGCUUGACCAUUAUUAAAGUUCAUUGCUUCGUGCAAAGCUAGUAUUAGUAACACCGGUAUUAUUGAUGAAAGUUUCUAUAUAGAGGCUCAGCUUGUGCAUAGUCUCUAUUAACCAUGUAAAUGCGGAUCUUAAUGACACCAGGGUAAUGAUGGAGGUUUCUUCUCGACCACCAUUAAAGUUCAUUGUAUUUCGAGAAUAGUUGGGAACUGAAGAAAAAAUCAUAUACUUCACAUGAUGCACAGUUGGUAUUACUAACGAGAGUUUCUGCAUGGAGGUUCAGCUUAUAUAGAGUUCGCUAUUGGCCAUGUUAAUGCCGGUAUUAAUGACACUAAUGUUAAUAUUAAACGUUUUUGCUUGUCAAUUAUUAGAUUUUAUUACUUAAUAUGCAAUAGAAAUUUAUUUAUUGAAGCCUUCUAUUUAUUAUAAUUUGUGAUAUUGUUAUACUACAUUUCAAAAAUAAUUGAAAAAAAGAGAAACAAUAGUAUCCCACCCAUCGUAUAGGACUGAUAUUGGUAAUGCUGGAAUUNNNNNNNNNNNNNNNNNNNNNNNNNNNNNNNNNNNNNNNNNNNNNNNNNNNNNNNNNNNNNNNNNNNNNNNNNNNNNNNNNNNNNNNNNNNNNNNNNNNNNNNNNNNNNNNNNNNNNNNNNNNNNNNNNNNNNNNNNNNNNNNNNNNNNNNNNNNNNNNNNNNNNNNNNNNNNNNNNNNNNNNNNNNNNNNNNNNNNNNNNNNNNNNNNNNNNNNNNNNNNNNNNNNNNNNNNNNNNNNNNNNNNNNNNNNNNNNNNNNNNNNNNNNNNNNNNNNNNNNNNNNNNNNNNNNNNNNNNNNNNNNNNNNNNNNNNNNNNNNNNNNNNNNNNNNNNNNNNNNNNNNNNNNNNNNNNNNNNNNNNNNNNNNNNNNNNNNNNNNNNNNNNNNNNNNNNNNNNNNNNNNNNNNNNNNNNNNNNNNNNNNNNNNNNNNNNNNNNNNNNNNNNNNNNNNNNNNNNNNNNNNNNNNNNNNNNNNNNNNNNNNNNNNNNNNNNNNNNNNNNNNNNNNNNNNNNNNNNNNNNNNNNNNNNNNNNNNNNNNNNNNNNNNNNNNNNNNNNNNNNNNNNNNNAGUGUCACUUGACUUUGAUUAAUACUGAUUUCUCUGCAUCACCCCAUACUAGAUUAAGAAGUGGUAUCAGAAUUUCUGUAAUCCGACUUGACUUUGAAAAAGAAAACUGCCGCUGACCAUAUUACAAUCAAGCACAUCCCAACUUUAGAAGCCCAAAUGUGUUAAAAAAAAUUCCCUGAAAUUGCUUCUCAAGCCUCAAUUCAGCAAAUUGCAAGUCCAAUUCAGCUUCAAAGCGGAGGGAGUUAGUGAUAUAAAAUAUUAUAGGAAAGCAACGUAGUAAUUGCCUGUUACCAUUCAUCAUCUUGGGAAGGAAUUGAAGGAAUUUUAGGAACCCAUCCCCUGGUCACCUCAAGAUGAACUUCGACGAUGCUAUACGAAGACAGAGAUGGGGUGGGGUUCAUAAUCCGCGAUCACAAUUUUCGGCUGACUGCUGCAGAAAGGUGAUACAUCUGUGAUACGACAGUUACAGAAGCGAAGCUCAGUGCGGCAUGAGAGGAUAUCACACAUGCAAGGUCUGUUCUAAGGGCUGGUGAGAUUAUCCUGAAAGGAGAUUCUACCAUGAUGAUUGAUUGGAUUCGGGAUGUUGUGCGACAGACUGACGGUCAUCCUCUUCUUAGCGAUAUACAACGCAUGGUGCGAGACUGUGACUCCUUUUAGAUGGUUCAUGUAUAUCGGGAGACGAAUAGAGCGACUGACUAAGUUGCCUUCUUUCUGCCCAUUAUUCUGUAGAGGUCUCAUGAACACGGACAGAUGUUGUACCUUUUUUUAGGCCACAUUUUGUAUCUUGGCUGAGUUGGUUAUAUUUAUGCUAAUUUACCUGAGCGGCCGUCUUAAAAAAAACAAAAAAUCAAAAUUUUGGAGCAUCAAAUGUGCUCAUCGUGUCGUGGCGGACGCUGUCAGCUGUCACGAUUCACUAUGUUUUUGUAUCUUGACUGAGUUGGUCAUACUUAAGCUAGGUCUACGUGCGCAACAGUCUUAUAAAAAACAAAAAUCGAAAUUUUGGAGCAUGAAAUGUGCUCAUCGUGUCGUGGUGGACGCUGUCAGCUGUCACGAUUCACCAGUAACAAACGGGUUACUAUGAGUAAUCUUGGAAGGAAGGCGGCUAGGGGUCUACUUCUAUCUCCAGGCAACGAUCCUAAUCUCCCCUGGAGACUCGUCCCCCCCCCCCCAUUUAAUUCCCACUUCUCCCUGCGAUUUUUUUUUUUUAAUAUCCAAUGGGUCCCAGUCCAUCCGAAUAGAUGGAUAUUCUUGCUCGGUUCUUACCAGGAAUUCCCCUCCCUUCCAUGGCAGCCUCCCUUCUUCUCUCUGCGUCUCUAUGCCGGCCUCUAUUCGAGAAGCCUUCUUAAUGGCCGCGAAUACUCGUCGCAGACUCGUGCGUGCCCUCCAAGCCCUCUACUCUAUCUCCCGUCAACGAGGGAUCCAUUAAAAUCGCGACUUUCCCAUUCUUGGUCCGGGUUGUUUCUAGGAUUUCAUUGUUCUCAGAUUUCUUCUUCGAAAAAUCCGUUGUCUUCAAUCGAAUUGAGGUCUCCUUCUCUGGUUCUGGUAAGCAAGAUUUCUCUUUUCCCAUCUGGAUUGUUCCCCAAAUCCAAAUCUUUACAUUCUUUCGGCCCGUUCUUGAAUUNNNNNNNNNNNNNNNNNNNNNNNNNNNNNNNNNNNNNNNNNNNNNNNNNNNNNNNNNAACUUGGACCUCGACUUCCCGAACCCGGAAGUGUUCCCGGGCCCUGAUGUCGGGGACCAGAUGCCCGGCAACUGCUGGAUAGAUGGCUUCUUCGACGAGAGCGUCAAGGACAUGCCCCGCCACUCAUGCACCCACACCCACACCUGUAAUCCUCCGGGGGGAGACCUCUCGCACACCCACACCUGCUUCCAUGCCCACACCAGGAUCCUCUCGGCUCCUUCCGAGGAGACUUCUUCCGAGUCCGCCGAGAAGAGCUCAUCAAAGAAGAGGCCAAUUGGCAACCGAGAGGCUGUCCGGAAGUACCGCGAGAAGAAGAAGGCUCAGACGGCCUCGCUGGAGGAUGAGAUUGUCCAAUUGAGGGCGCUCAAUCAGCAGCUGAUGAAGAGGCUGCAGGGCCAAGUAGCUCUGGAGGCAGAGGUGGCAAGGCUUAGGUGCUUGCUUGUCGAUAUAAGGGGAAGGAUAGAAGGAGAGAUUGGGGCCUUCCCUUAUUACAGGGCAGCGAGAAUGGGUGGGGAUUUGGUUUCUAAUGCAACCCAGGGGAACCUUCUUGGUGCUCACAUCAUAAAUUCGUGCAAUGUGCGCUGUGAUGACCGGAUCAACUGCAUGCAAUCAGUGACGCAAGGCGAAGAUGGGGAUGAAGAUGGUGCAUUGGAUGGCGAGAACUUUGAUGCUUGUGAGAUUGGCAAUAUUCGGUGCAUGGGGAGUUCGAGUACAGGAUCUAAGGUCAUCUUGACUUGUGGCCAUGGAAAUGCGAUGGCUGCUGGAUGUUCAUCUAAGGCCAAGAAAACUAAA
Molecule: long non-coding RNA, 13175 nt
Filed under: Phoenix dactylifera (date palm)
Lineage: Eukaryota; Viridiplantae; Streptophyta; Magnoliopsida; Arecales; Arecaceae
Description: long non-coding RNA (PDAC_LNC006650)
Source: RNAcentral